RNAcentral lists this long non-coding RNA (217 nucleotides) under Mytilus galloprovincialis (Mediterranean mussel). The record is from RNAcentral. Lineage: Eukaryota; Metazoa; Mollusca; Bivalvia; Mytilida; Mytilidae.
GGGUGAAUCCAGACAUUUCUAAAGGGGGGUUCCAACUAUAUGUCUCCAUUCAAGUGCAUUGAUCGUCUCAAAAAAAGGGGGGUUCCAACCACCGGAACCCUCCCCUUGGAUCCACCACUGAUAUUUGAGAAAUAGCCACAGUACAUUUUGUUGAUAUCAAAUUAAAGUUGAGAAGCUACGGUAAUCUAUAUAUGUUUAUCUACUUUUCAUUGUCUAC